RNA transcript from Magnolia sinica, 3183 nucleotides. It is a transcript of the gene named pentatricopeptide repeat-containing protein At3g16010, with no coding region annotated. NCBI's taxonomy places the organism in Eukaryota, Viridiplantae, Streptophyta, Magnoliopsida, Magnoliales, Magnoliaceae. The transcript is spliced from 4 exons. The record is from RefSeq and is a predicted model, not a curated record.
AAGUCGAGUCCGGGUUGCAAGCAGUCCGCCUCUGAUUUUGUCCGAGGAAACAGAAGCGAAGGUUUGCUGCUGUCACUGUCGACUCUCUGCAUGCAGCCUAAGGAAAGAGUCUUCCUUCUUCAGAAGACAUUCCAAGCGGCGUUUUAGAUUCCGAAUGCUUUUGGCAUUGGGAAUAUGGUUCUGAGGUCGUGCCUUUUCAAGCGUGCGCUCUCAUCCUCGCCUCAUCUCUAUGGGAGAUUUCCACAAACAGAGAAUGAAAUUGUAAGGAUGUUCCAAAUUCCAAGUCUCAAAGAUAACCUCUCUGACAACUCGCCUGGAAAUCCAAAGCUUUCAAGAAAUGAUCGCUCGAUCCGUGCACUGGAUGAAAGGUUCAUGAGAAUCUUGAAGAUAUUCAAGUGGGGUCCUGAUGCAGAAAAGGCCCUGGAAGUGCUGAUGUUGAAGGUGGAUCAUCGACUUGUUCGCGAGGUCAUGAAGGUCGAUGUUGAAAUUGGUGUGAAAAUCCAGUUCUUCAAGUGGGCCGGAAAGAAGAGGAAUUUUGAGCACAAUUCAACCACUUACAUGGCCUUGAUCCAUUGCCUUGAAGAAGCUGGAUUGAUGGGCGAGAUGUGGAAGACGAUUCAAGACAUGGUUCGUAGCCCGUGCGUCAUCAGCUCUACCGAAUUAUCAGAGAUUGUUAGGGUUUUAGGGAAGGCAAAGAUGGUGAAUAAGGCAUGUUCAAUCUUCUACCAGAUAAAGGCUCGAAAGUGCAAACCGUCUGCAAACACUUACAAUUGCAUGAUAAUGAUGUUGAUGCAAGAGGGUCAUUAUGAGAAGGUCUAUGAACUUUAUAAUGAGAUGUGCAAUGAAAGUAACUGCUUCCCUGACACCAUAACCUACAGUGCACUGAUUGUGGCAUUCGGGAAACUGGGUCGUGAAGAUUCUUCUGUGAGGCUAUUUGAUGAGAUGGAGGAAAAUGGGAUGCAACCAACGGCAAAGAUCUACACCACUUUGAUGGGUAUAUUUUUCAAGUCGGGAAAGAUUGAGAAGGCAUUGGGUUUGUUUCACCAAAUGAAAGAUAAGCAAUGUACCCCAAGUGUUUUUACGUACACGGAGUUGAUUAAAGGGCUCGGUAAAGCUGGAAGAGUUGAAGAGGCUUACGGAAUCUUUCUUGAUAUGCAAAAGGAAGGUUGUAGACCAGAUGUUGUGCUUAUGAACAAUUUAAUCAACAUUUUAGGAAAGGUGGGUCGCUUGGGUGAUGCCCUCAACCUGUUUGAGGAAAUGGGAUCUCUUCAAUGCGUGCCCAAUGUGGUGACAUAUAACAGUGUAAUCAAAGCUCUCUUUGAAUCAAAAUCUCAUGCGUCAGAGGCAGCUCGCUGGUUUGAGAAAAUGAAAGAAAAUGGGAUUGUUCCGAGUGCCUAUACUUACUCCAUUCUCAUUGAUGGUUUUUGCAAGACCAAUAAAGUGGAGAAAGCAUUGGUGCUGCUUGAGGAGAUGGAUGAGAAGGGUUUUCCUCCUUGCCCAGCUGCCUACUGCAGCCUAAUUGAUGCUCUUGGAAAGGCAAAACGUUAUGAAGCUGCAAAUGAAUUGUUUCAGGAACUAAAAGAAAACUGUGGAUCUUCAAGUUCUCGGGUGUAUGCCGUGAUGAUAAGACAUUUUGGUAAAUGUGGGCGUCUUAGUGAUGCUAUGGAUCUUUUUGAUGAAAUGAAGAAACUCAGUUGCAAUCCGGAUGUCUAUGCUUACAACGCUCUCAUGUCUGGGAUGGUGAGAGCUGGAAUGAUAGAUGAAGCUCAUUCCUUGCUUCGAGCAAUGCAAGAACAGGGAUGUGCCCCAGAUAUAAAUUCCCAUAACAUUAUCUUGAACGGAUUGGCAAGGGUGGGUGGCCCAAUACGGGCCAUGGAGAUGCUCUCAAAAAUGAAGCACUUGAAGACUAAACCGGAUGCUGUCUCUUAUAACACAGUUCUUGGCGCUCUCAGCCGUGCUGGUAUGUUUGAAGAGGCUGCCAAGCUGAUGAAAGAGAUGAGCCUAAAUGGAUUUGAAUAUGACCUCAUCACCUACUCAUCAAUACUUGAGGCUGUAGGAAAGAUUGAUGAGGACCACAUACAAUCAGUUCAGUAAGGGAAACCCGGUUGAGUGGUACAUGACGAUCACAUAAAGUUCCAGUCACAUCUCCAUCCUCCUACCCGAAAACAACAACAACAACAACAAAACCAUUUGUCUACUUCCAAUGCUAUUGAAUGGACAGUGAGCCUACUUUGAGAUCUUUCUGAACUUGCAAAGCCUUUGUUAUGGAUUAGAGGUGUUGCAAACCAGAUUCGAAAUGGACUGGAGAUUGAUUCACAGCCUAAGUGUCAAACAUGAUCUGUUGUAAUAUCUUUCAAGCAGGACCAGCAAUCUGUCAGAGGGAGUACAUUUUGCUUUCGCAUUGUAUGGCUUGCAGUUCCUCAAGUUACACCCAGGAAGCGUUUUAUCACUGGAGGUAUCUAGCAUAAUGUACCCCAUAUCUCAGCAUCUCUCAGCUUGUCAAGGGCGUUACGCGCAUGGCUUUUCGGCUGUGGAACUGCAGUCAUGGCUUCCAAAGGCUUUCUGAAUGGCAUUCUGACAAGCAUUUGGUUUUGUUCUUCUUCAGCUAUAACAGGCAGCUUGGGACAGUGACAUGGUGCCAAUCCAACGAUCGACAGAUAGGGCUUCCCGCAAGGGGGGAUCCAAUUUUUAAACCAGCCUAAAGAGUUGGACUUGACAGUGGUUGUAUCUAAAUUGUGAUGAUGGGUUUAACCACAUUAGCAGCAUGUAAAUGGAACUCUUGAUCGGAUUGUGAGAUGAGGAGAUGUACAGAUUUUUUUUCCACUUAAAAGAGGCCGGCAUGACGUUCAGAUAUUGUAGUUAAAUGCUAGAGGUCAUUGUCCUGGCAAAUAGCUCUGCUGAGGUGUUGUUCCGUCGCCCAACUCGAAUGCUGGGCUCGGAUCUUUCCCUGGGAAGAUGUAUGGUCUCUGUCAUCUCUCCUUUAUAGAUCAAAAUUCUGAAAUUAGUCAAAGAAAGAAGAAGCAUCAGCCAGUCCCUCAUGCCUCCGAUUUGGGAAUGUCUUUGAAGUGACUGAACUUUAUGUUGAUCUGUCAGCAGAAAAAAUGAUGAAAUUUGCAAAUUUGAACUCUACAAUGAUAUGUCAGUAGAAAUUUUGAUGAAAUUUACAAAUGUAUCCAUUUGAAA